RNAcentral lists this long non-coding RNA (517 nucleotides) under Vulpes vulpes (red fox). Its description in RNAcentral is "lncRNA (ENSVVUG00000026371.1)". Lineage: Eukaryota; Metazoa; Chordata; Mammalia; Carnivora; Canidae. The record is from RNAcentral.
UAAAUAGUAAACAGUAAUAAACAGUAAAUAGAAUUUAAGAAUCAUGAUUGCCGCAGUCUCAAAGAUGACAGAGAAAGCAGCCAUUACAUGGGAGAAUAAUAUUUGUUUUUCAUGUUGGAAGCUCCUGUGUGCAGCAAGACAGAAACCAAAUGAUCCUCAGAAGAUAAUAGGGAUCCGUUUUCUUGAGCUGUCUCAAGCCCAGGAAGCUGGUGGCAAGAUCCGGUCCAGCAGCCUUCUCCUGAUCCCGGAGAAGGUUUACUACAGCUGCUCAAAGAAAAUAGACCCAGAAUAAGAAAAUGUCCACUUGGAUUUAGGAAACUAGCAAAUUCAUUCAGCUUUUCUUCAUUAAUGAUGCUAUGAAUAGUCAAAUCGAAAAAUUAAUUCCUACAAGACUAAGUGGAUAAAUUGUCAUCCUUUGACCCUUCAAAGAAUUAGAUCUAAAUAUAGUUUUAUGGUCAGCUCAGUCUACACUUGUCAGUAGUCCAACCAAAUAAAUCAACAUUUUAAACUUAAUGCA